CAACAAUCCGUGCACACGAACAAAACUUGUCAAUACAAGAUUUUUUUUUUAAUUAAAAUUUUUUUUUUUCUUCGAGAGAGAAAGUUGUCACGGAAAACUUGUUGACCGUACACACGAGAAGGUAAAUUUGUCAAGGAGAACUUGUCAAGAAAAAACUUUUCACACAAGAAGGUAAAUUUGUCAAGGGAAAACUUGUCAAGGAAAGCUUGUUAACCGUACACACGAGGAAGUAAAAUUGUCUAGGAAACUUAUUGACCGUACACACACGAGAAUGUAAAUUUGUCAAGGAGAACUCGUCAAGGGAAAACUUGUCAAGGAAAGCUUGUUGACAAGAAGGUGAACUUGUCAAGGAAACUUGCUCGUCUAUAUACUUACGAAGCUUUCAUUUUUGUAUUGGCUUCCACCCAACCAUCAGACCAUUAUAUAUAUAUGCACUUAAAUGAUCCGGUCCACGCCUUUAUGAUUAUUUGCAUUUAAAUAUAUAGAUUUUAAUAAACUUUGCAAUAAGAUGCGCAUGUCAAUAUUAUAUUAAGUGACAGUGUAUAUGGACGAAUAACCUGUAAUGACAUAAUUGUCAGUUAUAUUAAGUGACAGUUAUUGAAUUGAAUUUGUAAAUUGCGACAGCUGUAUCUCUAAAAGGCCCAAACUCCCUGAAGUGAAUUAGUUGUGUCGGGUUGAAGUAAAAAUGUCCGGAAACAAUACAAUGACAAUGUAUACUAACCUAGCCAUAGGUGAAAGUGCUACGGUGAUUUUGAUAGUGUUUACAUCAAUACAAGUGCUUGUUGGCUCAACGGCAAAUUUCAUUGUCAUUUUUACAAUACUAAGAUCGCGAGAACUCACAAAGCGCUCGGAGGAUCGACUUAUACUAAACUUGGCCUUGGCAGAUUUCCUGACGCUGACGACGCUCAUGCCUCUACAUAUCUACAUACUUUGGCAAGGGCACAUCACAAUGGCAGUACAAAGGAGAUACGAAGCCUUGAAUUCAUUGGUUCUUUACUACGGAGGCAAUGCUGUGAUGGCCAUAGCUUGCGAUAGAUUUAUAGCAGUAUUACUACCAAUGCGCCAUUCGAUAUUGAUGUCAAAAAGAACGACGUUGUUCAUGGCAUUUUUAACAUUUAUUGUAGCAGUUAUCCUUGCUGUCCUAGACUAUCUGAGCGCCGAUCUGACGGAGAAAUCACGCAAGCUGUUGAUCAAAAUACUGUUCAUGCCAUACAACGCUAUAUUUUGUACAGCUCUAGCAGUCAUAUACAGUAUUAUCUUGUACAGUACAUUAAAACAAGCUAGGAGGAUUAUGAAACAGAGAAAAAGCAUCGGAGCUCAGUUUUGCAACUAUUCCAUGCGACCUCUCGUAAAAACAACUCUGAAAAUAACUUUGUUGGUAGUGCUAUAUUACGCGACGUAUCUUCCUUUAUCGAUUUACAUAUUCCUGUAUUCCUCAAUCGUGGAAAAUCAAGAAAGAAUCGCGCAAACAACUACGCGCUGUUGGAUUUACUCGUUUCUAUUCUUGAAUUGUUGCGCGAAUCCCUAUGUUUACGCGUUACAGACAGAAAGAUUCAAAAAGGCUGUUUAUAAAGCAUGGUUAAUCAAUAUUCGGUCAAAAAGGACCGCAACUAUAUCGAGAUAAUAGUAAAAAGUUAUUUUAGCCCUAUAUUGAUAAGAGGAUCCAAUGAUCAUCAUAAAUUGUAAAUGUA
RNAcentral lists this long non-coding RNA (1691 nucleotides) under Paramuricea clavata. Lineage: Eukaryota; Metazoa; Cnidaria; Anthozoa; Malacalcyonacea; Plexauridae. The record is from RNAcentral.